GAGCCAGACUCCUACGGGAGGCAGCAGUGGGGAAUAUUGCACAAUGGGGGAAACCCUGAUGCAGCAACGCCGCGUGAGUGAGGAAGUAUUUCGGUAUGUAAAGCUCUAUCAGCAGGGAAUAGAAAAGAAGGUACCUGAAAAAGAAGCCCCGGCUAACUACGUGCCAGCAGCCGCGGUAAUACGUAGGGGGCAAGCGUUAUCCGGAUUUACUGGGUGUAAAGGGGGCGCAGACGGCAAUGCAAGCCAGGAGUGAAGGCCCGGGGCCCAACCCCGGGACUGCCCUUGGAACUGCAUGGCUGGAGUGCGGGAGGGGCAGGCGGAAUUCCUGGUGUAGCGGUGAAAUGCGUAGAUAUCAGGAGGAACACCGGUGGCGAAGGCGGCUUACUGGACAGUGACUGACGUUGAGGCUCGAAAGCGUGGGGAGCGAACAGGAUUAGAUACCCCAGUACAC
Molecule: ribosomal RNA, 451 nt
Filed under: uncultured bacterium
Lineage: Bacteria
Description: bacterial SSU rRNA
Rfam family: Bacterial small subunit ribosomal RNA
Source: RNAcentral